GAGUUAGAUGCAUUUUCUGAAACUGAUUGUACAGAUGCAUUAAUAAUAAAGUAUUUACACUUACAGGCCACUUUAUUAGAAACACAUACCUAAUACUGGGUAGAAGCCCCAUUUGCUCUCAAAACAGCCUCAAAUCUUUGUGGCAUGGAUUCCACAAGGUGUCGGAAACAUUCCUUUGAGAUUCUGGACCAUGUUGACAUGAUUGCAUUGCUGCAAGUGCUGCAGAUGUUAUCGGCUGGACAUUCAUGCUCUGAAUAGCAUCCCAGUGGUGAUCUGGUGAAGGUGGAGGCCACUGAAGUACACUGAACUCAUUGUCAAAUCCAUAGAGCUUGUUUGAGAUGACUUGUGCUUUGUGACAUGAUACAUUAUCAGGCUGGAAGUAGCCAUUAUAAGAUGGUUAGAAAAUAUGUACAUCACCACCACCAGCCUGAAAUGUUGACAUAAGGCAGGUUGGCUCCCUCAAUUGAUACCAAAUUCUGACCCUAACAUCUGCCUGUCACAGCAGAAAUCGAGAUUCACAGAUUCUUGACUGACAGGAGUGGAAGGAACCUGAAGUGGCAAUCUUCUUUUGUAGCCCAUCCACCUCAAGGUUUGGUGUGACGUGCGAUCUGAGAUGCUUUUCGGCUGACCACGGUUGAAAAGUGUACUUAUUUGAGCUUCUGUAGCUUUCCUCUCAGCUUGAACCAGUCUGGCCAUUCUCCUUUGACUUCUCGUAUCUACAACGUAUUUCCACCUGCAGAACUGCCACUCACUGGAUAUUUUUUUCAUGCAUCAUACUGCAUAAACUCUGGAGACUGUUGUACGUGAAGAUCCCAGAAGAUCAAUGGUUUCUGAAAUGCUCAAACUAGCCAACAACCAUGCCAUGAUCAAAGUCACUGAAACGAUAUAUUCCCCAUUUCUGUUGCUCUGAUAUCUUCAAGGUUUUAUGCAUUGUACUGCUGCCACGUGAUUGGCAGACUGGAUAGUUACAUGAAUGAGCAGGUGUUUCUAAUAAAGUGGCCAGUGAGCGUAUAUUUAGGGCUCAAGCACUGAAGGUGCGUAGGCACCUAUUGUAUCCAGUACUUAGGGACCAAGCACCGAAGGAGUGCUACAGAAUGGGGUAGUCAGUCUUGAGCAGACUCGUCGUAAGAACCUGCAUGCUUUGGGGGGCCGUAAAACGGCAGUACAGACUCCGGCUCAGAAACAGCCUGUCAGACCUCAUAAUCCAGCAAGCAAAUGAGGGUCACGUGGAGCCUGGAGCCUAUCCCAGAGAGCUCGGGACACUGGACAGGGUGUCAACCCAUCACAGGGCACAAUCGCACACAGUCACACACUACAGACAAAUUGGAAAGGCCAAUCAGCCUACAAAGCAUGUCUUUGGACUAGGGGAGGAACCUGGAGGGAAAAAAACCCUGAAGCACAGAGAAAACAUGCAACCUCAGUGCACACACAGGGCAGAGGCGGGAAUCGAACACAACCCUGGAGGUCUGAGGCAAACAUAACCACUAAGCCACCAUGACCCCUUGAAUUUAGCUAUGUUUUUCAUUUGUUUUGAACUUGCUAGGGGUAAGAGUACAGAUUUUAACAAGUCAUACUUAAAUAGAAAUCCCCCAAAUUCAAAUGUCAAAAAUACAGAUUUUUAUGUAAAUUAGGUCCAGGUUUCGCAGGGAAAAGUAGAUGUUUCAGACAGGUCAAAGUCAGCAAUCACCCGCAACUCAAAUCAAAGUAAGAUGACGUAUGAACUUGAGUUCCAGCCUUAGUAUUUGGUUCUGAAACUUAAGGGAUGAUGAUGAACAGCAUCUUCAGAAUGUGAGAAGAAUGCAUUGUACAUAUCAUGGAGGAAUUACAGUUCACAAUAUAUUGUAAAAGAGUUUGGUGUCACUCCAUCUAUGCAAGAUGGAGUGAUCUACAUGGAGGUUAAGCCAAAACUUAAUAUAAAGUUCAGUCCAGUUCAGUAGUACAACCCCAAUUCCGAAAAAGUUGGGACAGUAUAGAAAAUGCUAAUAAAAACAAAGAGGAGUGAUUUUUAAAUGUAUUUUGACUUGUAUUUAAACCAAAAACGUAUAAAGAAAAGGUAUUUGAUGUAUUACCUAGUCAACUGCAUAGUUUUUUGAAGAUAAACAUUUAUUUUGAAAUUGAUGCAUGCAACAUGUUCCAACAAAGUUGGGAUGGGGCAAUUUAGGACUAAUAGCGAUGUGACAAGUUGAAAUAAGAAGGUGAUGUGAAACAGGUGAGGCAAUCAUCUAAUCAUAGUAUAUAAGGAGCCUCCAAAAAGGCCUAGUCCAUCAAGAGCAAGGAUGAGUUGAGGCUCGCCAAUCUGCCAACGGAUGCGUCAGCGAAUAAUCCAACACUUUGAGAACAACGUUCCACAAAGACAAAUCGGUAGGAUUUUAGGCAUUUCACCUUCUGCAGUGCACAAUACAGUUAAAAGAUUCAAGGAGUCAAAUCUCAGUGCAUAAAGGGCAAGGCUGAAAACCACUUUUGAGUGCGCAUGAUCUCUGAUCCCUCAGACAUCACUGUCUUAAAAACCAUCAUGAGUCUGUAAUGAUAUCCUGACAUGGGCUCGGGAAUACUUUGGCAAACCUUUGUCAGUCAACACCAUUCACCACUGCAUCCACAGAUUCAAGUUAAGGCUUUACUAUGCAAAGCAGAAGCCGUACAUCAACACUGUCCAGAAGCACCGCCAACUUCUUCUCAGUGGAAUCGUGUUUUGUGGUCUGAUGAGUCAACAUUUCAAAUAGUUCUUGGACAAAACAGCCGUCGUGUUCUCCGGGCCAAAGAGGAAAAGGACCAUCCAAGCUGUUAUCAGCAUCAGGUCCAAUAGCCAGCAUCCGUCAUGGUAUGGGGUGUGUCAGUGCUCAUGGCAUGGGUAACUUGCAUAUCUGUAAGGACAUCAUUAAUGCAGAAAGAUAUGUACACAUUUUGGAGCAACAUAUGCUGCCAUCUAGAGCAGGACAACGGCAAACCACAUUCUGCCCGAUUAGAAGCGCAUGGUUAUGUAAGCAGAGAGUGCGGGUGCUAGCAUGGCCUGCCUGCAGUCCUGACCUGUCUCCGAUUGAGAAUGUGUGGUGCAUCAUGAAGUGCAAAAUAAGGCAACAAAGCCCCCAUACAGUUGUGCAGCUGAUGAAAUGCAUAAUGGAUGAAUGGGGAAAAUUCCGCUUGCUAAACUUAACCAACUUGGUCUUUAGCACCCAAACGCUUAAUAAGUGUUAUUAAGAGAAAAGGUGAUGUUACACAGUGGCAAACAGUCGACUGUCCCAACUUUUUUGGAGUGUGUUGCAGUCAUCAGAUUUGAAAUGAGUGUAUAUUUUCAAAAAUAAAUUAAAUUCACAAAGUAAAACAUAACACAAUAACGUGUUACUAAUGUGUUUUCAAUAUAGUACUGGGGGAAUUGAAUUUUCACAUUUUUCAGAAUUGGGGUUGGAUAAUCUUUUUAGCAAUGGUGAGUGAUAUUAAUAUAAAGGAUUUGAAAUGGCUGGGUAUUGACAAUGAAGAAAUAUUAUUAGGUAGUUCCACAUUAGGACGGAUGGGGAAGUCAAGGCUCAGGAUCAGAAAUAUGAUGGAUGUGCAGACAAAACCAAAAAGCAUGAUAGUUAUUGCCUGUUGAGGCUGGGCAAUGUGGACAUAACCAUGCAGUGCAGUUUAUGAGUUGCAAUGUGGGUCCUUUGAAUGAUUUUAUAUUGGAUAUUUGUUCGUUUUGAGAUGAUGAAAUUUUGAAGUCAUAGAGAAAGUGAACACCAAUUUGUUUUUCCGAAUGCAAUACAUUUCUAGGUGUUUUACAUUUAGGCCGUUUAUCUCCAUCCUCCAUCUCUCUCUACUUCUCAGCACCAGCAGACCUGCUUUGACAUGUCAUGAUGAUGUCAACACAGUCAGCUGUGAUUGGCUUAUAUGAAUACCUGUUUUUUACCAAGAUUCACUCAGCUGGGACAGAACUGAUGAAACACUCAAAGCACGCAUUUAUAUUUAGAAAGGUGUAGGCAAGGGUAUUGUGCCAACAUUUAUGCUCGUUUUCAUAUUUGCUUAAUUCUGCCAGCCUGAAUGAGUAGAUGUGGAAAUAACAUCUCAGGAAGGCAGCAGCCUUUCAGAUAAAGAGCCUUCUAGAAAUCUCAACAGACGGGUGAUCUCUUAUCUUUCCAUUUUCUGUCGCCUGUCUUCUUUCUUACAGUCAUUAAUGUGGUUGUAAUUUUCGGUAAGAACUCUGUCCUGAGUGUGGGAGCAAUUUUGCUGCUCCAGACAUAUUUCUGCAACAUGUGGGUGGAAUGCAGCUGUGCAACAGUGACUGAAAUGUCAGCAAGCAGUUUUUGGCUUUUGCACCCGUGGUGAUCAUGUAGAACAAUUUUUUUUCCCUCUGAUCUUUUAAACAGGUAGUUUAUUUUUAUGAAAUGUUGAAGGCUGCAGUUUGGAAAGUGUAAAGGAUUAAGUACUGAUUGAGAUGUUCUGUAAGAUAUCAGCAGGAAGCUGAGGUAGCACUGCUGUGACCAGGUGGUGAUGCGGUUAGACUGCAACAACAACUUCUUUCUUUAUGAAGGAAGUGAAAAUUCAAAAAAGACUCCAUUGCAAAAUCUUUUCCAUAACGACAUAAAAUAUGGUAUUAUUGAAUCUUCUGCUACACAUACAUAAAUGCAUUGAUGAUUAAUCAUUAAAUAAGGGGUAUAUACUAGAAUAAGGAAGCUGCUUUUUAGUUUGACUUCUGAAAAUGACCAGCAUUACCACAUCCUGCUCUGAGUACUGUACAUAGUAAUAUCAUCACACUCACUGCAUUUCCCCCAUGUCCAUGUGGGUUAUCUUGUUUUCCUUCAACCUCUUAUAAACAUUGGUGAAUUGGUUAGACUAAAGUGCCCCUAGGUGUGAAAGAGUGGGUGAAUAUGUUUGUGCAUAGUGAUGGACUGACAUCACAUCCAGGGUGUAUUCCCACCUCACGCCCAGAGUACCUUGGAUACGUUCUGGAUCACUGGUUACUGAAGAUGAAUGGCUGAAUUUCUACAUUAGCACCGUCAUUUACUUCAGCUGAUGGUAGCUGCCUUCUAGUGGUUUUUUCAUGAUAUUAGAGUUAAAAAUAGUUUUAUGUUUGUUUUUUUUUUGUUUUGUUUAGCUUUGCAUAAUUCUGUUCAUUUUAUAGAAAAUUUAUAUACAGUCAUAGGAAAAAGAAAGUACACCCUCCUUCACACCUAUGUUUUUAUUUAUCUGGGCUUAAAUAAGAACUGUAAACAAACAAAUAACUUCAGGUGACAACAAAAAACAUUAAGACAGUUGGCCAAUCUUCCGAGGAAUGGGGGUCACAGCAAAUUCAGUCUAAGUCCAGACCGCUUAAUGCUCAGAGAUGUAAAAAAACACAAACAAAAAAAACAAAGGGUAACAUGUGACCUGCAGGCCAGUGGAACCACAUUAAAUGUUUGUUUGUGAUAGCACAAUCAGAAAAAAACUGAAUAAGUAUUGCUUUCAUGGGAGGGAUCGCUAGGAAAAAGCCCCUUCUCUCCAAAAAGAAUAUGGAACAUGACUUAGGUUUGCCAAAUUGCAUCUGAACAAACCACAAAAGUUCUGGAACGAUAUCCUUUGGACACAGCAUAUCACCACAAACUCCUCAUACCAACUGUGAAGCAUGGUGAUGGAAGGGUGAUGAUUUGGGCUAGUUUUGCAACCAUACGACUUAGGAAACUUGCAGUCAUAUUGAGACAACAAUGAACUCUACUUUAUACCAGAAUAAUCUUGAGACAAAUUGAGGCCAUCUGUCCAGCAGCUUAAGCUGGGCUGAAAUUGGGUCAUGCACCAGGACAAUGAUCCCAAGCACACCAGCAAACCGACAUCUGAAUGACUAAAGAAGAAAGUCCAGACCUCAACCCCACUGAGAUACUGUGGUGGGAUCUUAAGAGAGCUGUUCAUAAAUGAAUUUCCUCAAACAUAAAUUAACUGAAGCAAUGUUGUGAACAAGAGUGGGCCAAAAUUUCUCCAAAACGAUGUGAGAGACUGAAACUCCUACAGAAAAACUUAUUGUCACUAAAGAUGGUUCUAAAGGUUGCUGAAUUAUAGCAUGUAAUUCUUAUUUGUUUGUUUAUAGAAGUUGGUGAGGACCACACAAUUGUUAUUUGUUAUAGGCCCUGUUAAAGUUAUUGUUACAGGCCCUGAAAACAUAGAACUGAAGGAGGCUAUACAGUCUAUGUCCCAUGACUGUAUGUUAUAUUGGGAUCUAAUUUGUUUCAUGGCUGUUCCACAACAUUAAACCACACGAUAGUGUGGAAAAAAGUGCACCACCACCAGAUGUUACAUACAUAAUGGAGUAGAAACUAACUUGUAUUGUGGACUUUAACAACAGUAAAUGUAACUAUAAAACUUUUAAACAUCAUGAAGUGUUGUUCAUUAAUAUAUUACAAUUUGUGAUUGUUGGUGGUGGUAGCAGCUCAGUGAUUAAGACAUUGGUUUUCUGGUUUGAAAGUCAUAGGUUCAAAUCCCAGAACCACAAAGCUGCCACUGCUGGGCCUUUGAGCAAGGUCCUUAACUCUCAACUGCUCAGUUGUAUAAAUGAGAUAAAUGUAAGUUGUUCUGGAUAAGGGGGUCUGCCAAAUGCCAUAAAUGUAAAAUCUGGCAAAUUGCUGUUGUAUAAAUCUUUGGGGUGUGCUGUUAUAUGAAAAAUAAACUGGUUCUUAUUUUGACACAUCA
Molecule: RNA transcript, 6633 nt
Organism: Ictalurus furcatus (blue catfish)
Lineage: Eukaryota; Metazoa; Chordata; Actinopteri; Siluriformes; Ictaluridae
Gene: c8hxorf65
Gene name: chromosome 8 CXorf65 homolog
Exons: 4
Source: RefSeq, a predicted model, not a curated record